GUGGGGAAUCUUGCGCAAUGGGCGAAAGCCUGACGCAGCCAUGCCGCGUGGAUGAUGAAGGUCUUAGGAUUGUAAAAUCCUUUCACCGGUGAAGAUAAUGACUGUAGCCGGAGAAGAAGCCCCGGCUAACUUCGUGCCAGCAGCCGCGGUAAUACGAAGGGGGCUAGCGUUGCUCGGAAUUACUGGGCGUAAAGGGAGCGUAGGCGGACAUUUAAGUCAGGGGUGAAAUCCCGAGGCUCAACCUCGGAACUGCCUUUGAUACUGGGUGUCUUGAGUGUGAGAGAGGUGAGUGGAACUCCGAGUGUAGAGGUGAAAUUCGUAGAUAUUCGGAAGAACACCAGUGGCGAAGGCGACUCACUGGCUCAUUACUGACGCUGAGGCUCGAAAGCGUGGGGAGCAAACAGGAUUAGAUACCCGGGUAGUAC
Molecule: ribosomal RNA, 425 nt
Filed under: uncultured bacterium
Lineage: Bacteria
Description: partial 16S ribosomal RNA
Rfam family: Bacterial small subunit ribosomal RNA
Source: RNAcentral